UUAGGAUCAAAGCAGCAGCUGCUUUCCCAUUCAAGUACCAGUCAAGAGAGCCCAAAGUGACAGUUUUCCUACACAGCUAUAGCCUCUUCUGUCAUCUGUAACUGGCCUAUGACAUUUUUGGAAAAGACAUUU
Otolemur garnettii (small-eared galago) is the source of this 132-nucleotide small nucleolar RNA. The record is from Ensembl. Lineage: Eukaryota; Metazoa; Chordata; Mammalia; Primates; Galagidae.